GCAGAAGAAGCGCCGGCUAACUNCGUGCCAGCAGCCGCGGUAAUACGUAGGGUGCAAGCGUUGUUNGGAAUUAUUGGGCGUAAAGAGCUCG
RNAcentral lists this ribosomal RNA (91 nucleotides) under uncultured bacterium. RNAcentral's name for it is "partial 16S ribosomal RNA". It matches the Rfam family "Bacterial small subunit ribosomal RNA", at positions 481 to 571 of the family's 1533-position model. The record is from RNAcentral.